Molecule: long non-coding RNA, 1126 nt
Organism: Armigeres subalbatus
Lineage: Eukaryota; Metazoa; Arthropoda; Insecta; Diptera; Culicidae
Exons: 4
Source: RefSeq, a predicted model, not a curated record
CCGUUCGGUUCCAUUUAUGCUUGUUGGCUCCACCACAAGUCCUUUUCAUUUCCCCUACCGAAUACAACCCUGUAAACAAAUGUUGAAAACACAGUCACUCCACGAUGGUCAAGUCAGUGUGAGUGAACCUGUUCCAUUCCUACUCGUACCGAACACUUAUGUCAAACGAGGUUCGAGCAGUUUGAACGCGGGCAAAACAUUUGCAGCCCUGAGUGCUUAACGCUCACCCACAGAUGUCACUAGGUUAGAGCAAACAUUAGGGUGCAGAAAAUUGAAGCAUAAACGUCAAUAAAAAAAUAUAAUCAUAGCUUUUGUAUGAGACCAAAAUCUUAUAAAAGCUAUGGUUAUCUCACACUACGACCUCUUUGGUGCCAGUUUCUCGAACGGAAUAGUAGUGCGCGCGUGGAUAACUACAAUAGUUUGAGAAUUAGAAUGGCCAAGAGACAGGUGCAAUCAAAUAAAGCAUCAAUGUAAAUAUCUAAAAGGAAAAAAGUACAAAAAUAUGUAAACAAUAACUGGCCUAGAAAACGAAACAAUUAUCAGUGAAACAAACAGAAAAACAUAGAAAAAGGUCCACACAAAGGGCCUUUUUCUUUCCGUCCUUUUUCCUAGGGCUCGGUGAAUUCCGUAAGGCCAGAAGUCCAACGAGUCCGCCCGAGAAGAUCCGAGGCCAAGCCAACCACAAUCGCCAUCUGGUUCGCCCGGCGUGUGGAAAUAUGCGUGCGUCGCUCCUCGUGGCGUGAAUCUUCGGCAAACCAACCCAAGUUAGCCAACAGCGGCCAGGGAGCCAAUCAUACCGGCAAUCGUCGGCAAUUUUCCCGAAUCACUCGGUCAGCGGGAUGCUGGCCACUGAUCCGCAUCAACAGACCGACCUUCCGACAACCGCAAGAUGCCGCAUCGAAUCGGCAAUUAAACACUCGUUGGAGACUGCCAACUCGACUCAAUCUGUUAACCGAGCAUCGCCCAUCUCACGACAUCCGCCGGCUGGCCAAUGUCGUCCGUCAACACCUACCACUUCGAAGGAUCCGGAUCCGUACCACCAAAAUGCAUGCAUGCAAUCCAGCUAAGUACCCACCUCAUGUGACGUCACAAUAGAGUAAUAAACCAUUUUGUUAGUUAAGCGAAA